UUCUGAAAAGGGGUCGCCGCUCAGGAAUGCAAGGCCCAGAUGAUACAAAUGGUGAGAUGACACCUGAAUGGGUGGACUUUAACCCUCCCCCUCCAACGGGGUGCUGCAUAAACAAUGUGGCUCUCGGGAAUAAAGAGGUGCUGCGGAGCUUUAGGAGGAGAAUGAAACCAGGAGGCCUGAGACGAGGCGUCCACUCUGGGUUACACCCACUCUGCCACGCGGACGCCACGGAAUCACACAGCCUCGGCUUUAGACCACGCGAGCGUUUAAGCAUCCGUGGCCGGGGUUUCCCGCUCCCCUGCCAAACAUGCUGUGGUGGUGUGUGUGUGCUCAGAGAGGGUGAGCCUCCAGAAACGCUGCACCGAUUCACGCUCCGACAACAGCGCAGGGCAGUCCCUAUUUCUGCUCACGACGCCCCGAUGGGCACAGCUCUGUGGGCCCAGUACCUGCCGGGCCGCUACCAUCACUCACGGGCCGCGAACGCAGGUCACCUCGGACCACAGCCCACUGCUGGGUACCAAGGGGGACUGCAAGGGAAAAUCCAUCCAAAGCCUUUUCUUCUUCUGCACCUGGCGGACAGCAGACGCACGGCAUAUAUAACACCAGGCCCAAGAGGACCCAGGGUGAUGGCAAGCACUUGGACCUUGCUCUAAGGACCCCAGCACUUCAGUCACGGGAAGCCCCAGCUGUGGAAGGACCACGAUCACCCAUCUCUCCCAGUGUGGGCUUGAUCCCAGUAGCAGACAAGGAAGGAAGCAGCCGGGCCUCCAGCCACCUCUUGUCUGGUUGGUGAACAUCUACUGUGUUACACGUAAAAUGACACCCAGGAGAGCGAGACACGACAGCCUGCGGGCUGCUUUAUGAGGACGAUCAAUAUUUCAAACUCAAAUCUCUCAAGUUCAGAGGAUGUCUCCUCAUGCCUUUUACACUACGGCACUCUCCCACGGGGUCACCUCCUAGAAGCUCAGCAAUUCCUCCUCUACCUGAUCUGCAAAACCAAAAAUGGCCAGAUCAGGUCUUCAUGUGCCGAAUCAACAAGUAACAUCUGCUGUGUGAUCACCCUGUUAGUGUCUCCAGUUUCGUGAAACAAAUCAACACCCCACUGAAUCCAUCCUAUUUGAAGGCAGUUCUGCAAAACCACUGGUGCUGGGAUCAGAAUUCCUGUUUAGAGUGAGUGGUUAUGAACUCAGUAACAGGAGGCCCAGUAUCUUCCACGACCAAACAGGAGAGAGAAUGUUCCCUAAGAAGCAUUAUUCCUCAAACAGCACACCUACACACUCUCCCAAGAGAGGCCUCCCUGCAUUUAAUGAUAACUGAUGGAGUGACAACUAAUGAUAACGCUCAUGAAGUGACAAAUGAGCCCACAUCACCACCAUCAUUUACUUGCUAUCAGAAACGAUCAUGGGGCUUUCCUUCAAAUUCACGGUAAGUCUUCCGCUUAGAAUAACAUGGAAAUUAAAUGUGAAGAAUGACAUUAAUUCAACAUGAUGGCUGGUUUUACUCACAGAAAAGUCACAGAACUUAAAGUUAUGGUUCCCAUGGCCCCUGUAACUGUCACCCGUUGUAUAUACACACCAAGGAAGGAAAGUGAUCACUAUAAAGAAGACAGGAAAAGCCUGCAAAAGCAAUGGAGGACCAGGUUACAGCCGCUGGGGGACACAUAACUGAACAUUUCCUUACGUUCUGCAUGGAGCCAAAGGAUUUUUCAUUGAGUAAAACUGCAUUAUUUUCAG
RNAcentral lists this long non-coding RNA (1733 nucleotides) under Capra hircus (goat). RNAcentral's name for it is "lncRNA (ENSCHIG00000005267.1)". Lineage: Eukaryota; Metazoa; Chordata; Mammalia; Artiodactyla; Bovidae. The record is from RNAcentral.